Molecule: ribosomal RNA, 2925 nt
Filed under: Escherichia coli
Lineage: Bacteria; Pseudomonadati; Pseudomonadota; Gammaproteobacteria; Enterobacterales; Enterobacteriaceae
Description: 23S ribosomal RNA
Rfam family: Bacterial large subunit ribosomal RNA
Source: RNAcentral
GGGUUGUGAGGUUAAGCGACUAAGCGUACACGGUGGAUGCCCUGGCAGUCAGAGGCGAUGAAGGACGUGCUAAUCUGCGAUAAGCGUCGGUAAGGUGAUAUGAACCGUUAUAACCGGCGAUUUCCGAAUGGGGAAACCCAGUGUGAUUCGUCACACUAUCAUUAACUGAAUCCAUAGGUUAAUGAGGCGAACCGGGGGAACUGAAACAUCUAAGUACCCCGAGGAAAAGAAAUCAACCGAGAUUCCCCCAGUAGCGGCGAGCGAACGGGGAGCAGCCCAGAGCCUGAAUCAGUGUGUGUGUUAGUGGAAGCGUCUGGAAAGGCGCGCGAUACAGGGUGACAGCCCCGUACACAAAAAUGCACAUACUGUGAGCUCGAUGAGUAGGGCGGGACACGUGGUAUCCUGUCUGAAUAUGGGGGGACCAUCCUCCAAGGCUAAAUACUCCUGACUGACCGAUAGUGAACCAGUACCGUGAGGGAAAGGCGAAAAGAACCCCGGCGAGGGGAGUGAAAAAGAACCUGAAACCGUGUACGUACAAGCAGUGGGAGCACGCUUAGGCGUGUGACUGCGUACCUUUUGUAUAAUGGGUCAGCGACUUAUAUUCUGUAGCAAGGUUAACCGAAUAGGGGAGCCGAAGGGAAACCGAGUCUUAACUGGGCGUUAAGUUGCAGGGUAUAGACCCGAAACCCGGUGAUCUAGCCAUGGGCAGGUUGAAGGUUGGGUAACACUAACUGGAGGACCGAACCGACUAAUGUUGAAAAAUUAGCGGAUGACUUGUGGCUGGGGGUGAAAGGCCAAUCAAACCGGGAGAUAGCUGGUUCUCCCCGAAAGCUAUUUAGGUAGCGCCUCGUGAAUUCAUCUCCGGGGGUAGAGCACUGUUUCGGCAAGGGGGUCAUCCCGACUUACCAACCCGAUGCAAACUGCGAAUACCGGAGAAUGUUAUCACGGGAGACACACGGCGGGUGCUAACGUCCGUCGUGAAGAGGGAAACAACCCAGACCGCCAGCUAAGGUCCCAAAGUCAUGGUUAAGUGGGAAACGAUGUGGGAAGGCCCAGACAGCCAGGAUGUUGGCUUAGAAGCAGCCAUCAUUUAAAGAAAGCGUAAUAGCUCACUGGUCGAGUCGGCCUGCGCGGAAGAUGUAACGGGGCUAAACCAUGCACCGAAGCUGCGGCAGCGACGCUGAUGCGUUGUUGGGUAGGGGAGCGUUCUGUAAGCCUGUGAAGGUGUGCUGUGAGGCAUGCUGGAGGUAUCAGAAGUGCGAAUGCUGACAUAAGUAACGAUAAAGCGGGUGAAAAGCCCGCUCGCCGGAAGACCAAGGGUUCCUGUCCAACGUUAAUCGGGGCAGGGUGAGUCGACCCCUAAGGCGAGGCCGAAAGGCGUAGUCGAUGGGAAACAGGUUAAUAUUCCUGUACUUGGUGUUACUGCGAAGGGGGGACGGAGAAGGCUAUGUUGGCCGGGCGACGGUUGUCCCGGUUUAAGCGUGUAGGCUGGUUUUCCAGGCAAAUCCGGAAAAUCAAGGCUGAGGCGUGAUGACGAGGCACUACGGUGCUGAAGCAACAAAUGCCCUGCUUCCAGGAAAAGCCUCUAAGCAUCAGGUAACAUCAAAUCGUACCCCAAACCGACACAGGUGGUCAGGUAGAGAAUACCAAGGCGCUUGAGAGAACUCGGGUGAAGGAACUAGGCAAAAUGGUGCCGUAACUUCGGGAGAAGGCACGCUGAUAUGUAGGUGAAGUCCCUUGCGGAUGGAGCUGAAAUCAGUCGAAGAUACCAGCUGGCUGCAACUGUUUAUUAAAAACACAGCACUGUGCAAACACGAAAGUGGACGUAUACGGUGUGACGCCUGCCCGGUGCCGGAAGGUUAAUUGAUGGGGUCAGCGCAAGCGAAGCUCUUGAUCGAAGCCCCGGUAAACGGCGGCCGUAACUAUAACGGUCCUAAGGUAGCGAAAUUCCUUGUCGGGUAAGUUCCGACCUGCACGAAUGGCGUAAUGAUGGCCAGGCUGUCUCCACCCGAGACUCAGUGAAAUUGAACUCGCUGUGAAGAUGCAGUGUACCCGCGGCAAGACGGAAAGACCCCGUGAACCUUUACUAUAGCUUGACACUGAACAUUGAGCCUUGAUGUGUAGGAUAGGUGGGAGGCUUUGAAGUGUGGACGCCAGUCUGCAUGGAGCCGACCUUGAAAUACCACCCUUUAAUGUUUGAUGUUCUAACGUUGACCCGUAAUCCGGGUUGCGGACAGUGUCUGGUGGGUAGUUUGACUGGGGCGGUCUCCUCCUAAAGAGUAACGGAGGAGCACGAAGGUUGGCUAAUCCUGGUCGGACAUCAGGAGGUUAGUGCAAUGGCAUAAGCCAGCUUGACUGCGAGCGUGACGGCGCGAGCAGGUGCGAAAGCAGGUCAUAGUGAUCCGGUGGUUCUGAAUGGAAGGGCCAUCGCUCAACGGAUAAAAGGUACUCCGGGGAUAACAGGCUGAUACCGCCCAAGAGUUCAUAUCGACGGCGGUGUUUGGCACCUCGAUGUCGGCUCAUCACAUCCUGGGGCUGAAGUAGGUCCCAAGGGUAUGGCUGUUCGCCAUUUAAAGUGGUACGCGAGCUGGGUUUAGAACGUCGUGAGACAGUUCGGUCCCUAUCUGCCGUGGGCGCUGGAGAACUGAGGGGGGCUGCUCCUAGUACGAGAGGACCGGAGUGGACGCAUCACUGGUGUUCGGGUUGUCAUGCCAAUGGCACUGCCCGGUAGCUAAAUGCGGAAGAGAUAAGUGCUGAAAGCAUCUAAGCACGAAACUUGCCCCGAGAUGAGUUCUCCCUGACUCCUUGAGAGUCCUGAAGGAACGUUGAAGACGACGACGUUGAUAGGCCGGGUGUGUAAGCGCAGCGAUGCGUUGAGCUAACCGGUACUAAUGAACCGUGAGGCUUAACCUUACAACGCCGAAG